Molecule: ribosomal RNA, 427 nt
Filed under: uncultured bacterium
Lineage: Bacteria
Description: partial 16S ribosomal RNA
Rfam family: Bacterial small subunit ribosomal RNA
Source: RNAcentral
UGGGGAAUAUUGCACAAUGGGCGCAGGCCUGAUGCAGCCAUGCCGCGUGUAUGAAGAAGGCCUUCGGGUUGUAAAGUACUUUCAGCGGGGAGGAAGGUGUUGAGGCUAAUAACCUCAGCAAUUGACGUUACCCGCAGAAGAAGCACCGGCUAACUCCGUGCCAGCAGCCGCGGUAAUACGGAGGGUGCAAGCGUUAAUCGGAAUUACUGGGCGUAAAGCGCACGCAGGCGGUCUGUCAAGUCGGAUGUGAAAUCCCCGGGCUCAACCUGGGAACUGCAUUCGAAACUGGUAGGCUAGAGUCUUGUAGAGGGGGGUAGAAUUCCAGGUGUAGCGGUGAAAUGCGUAGAGAUCUGGAGGAAUACCGGUGGCGAAGGCGGCCCCCUGGACAAAGACUGACGCUCAGGUGCGAAAGCGUGGGGAGCAAACA